GAUGAACGCUGACAGAAUGCUUAACACAUGCAAGUCCACUUGAACUUCGGUUUGGGUGGCGGACGGGUGAGUAACGCGUAAAGAACUUGCCUCACAGCUAGGGACAACAUUUGGAAACGAAUGCUAAUACCUGAUAUUAUGAUUAUAUGGCAUCGUAUAAUUAUGAAGGCUAUAUGCGCUGUGAGAGAGCUUUGCGUCCCAUUAGCUAGUUGGAGAGGUAACAGCUCACCAAGGCGAUGAUGGGUAGCCGGCCUGAGAGGGUGAUCGGCCACAAGGGGACUGAGACACGGCCCUUACUCCUACGGGAGGCAGCAGUGGGGAAUAUUGGACAAUGGACCGAGAGUCUGAUCCAGCAACUCUGUGUGCACGAUGAAGUUUUUCGGAAUGUAAAGUGCUUUCAGUUGGGAAGAAAAAAAUGACGGUACCAACAGAAGAAGAGACGGCUAAAUACGUG
RNAcentral lists this ribosomal RNA (454 nucleotides) under uncultured bacterium. RNAcentral describes it as "partial 16S ribosomal RNA". It matches the Rfam family "Bacterial small subunit ribosomal RNA", at positions 28 to 507 of the family's 1533-position model. The record is from RNAcentral.